This is a long non-coding RNA of Magallana angulata, 251 nucleotides long. RefSeq lists it as uncharacterized. The record is from RefSeq and is a predicted model, not a curated record. Lineage: Eukaryota; Metazoa; Mollusca; Bivalvia; Ostreida; Ostreidae. The transcript has 3 exons.
UGUAAACACGUGUAGCUGGUAUCCCGAUGAUGGCGAUUUUUUGAUGAUUUAUCAGAGUAAUUUGAAAAGUGUCGCACUUAUUUGAGAAAAAAAAGGCUUGAAGAAAAUCUGGUACCUGCUUUGUUUUGGGAUUUACAUAAAUGAUGUUCUUAUUGGUGACAAUUUACCUGCACACUUAUACUGGGGUCAUAUAAAAGAUGAAAUGAUGAAAAGAAAAACCUGAAUUUUAAGAACAGGAAGACUGUGUUUUU